CAGAGGGUGCAAGCGUUAAUCGGAAUUACUGGGCGUAAAGCGAGCGUAGUCGGUUAUUUAAGUCGGAUGUGAAAUCCCCGGGCUCAACCUGGGAAUUGCAUUCGAUACUGGAUAGCUAGAGUUCGGCAGAGGGAAGCGGAAUUUCUGGUGUAGCGGUGAAAUGCGUAGAUAUCAGAAGGAACAUCAGUGGCGAAAGCGGCUUCCUGGACCAGAACUGACGAUCAGGCUCGAAAGCGUGGGGAGCAAAACAGGAUUAGAUACCCUGGUAGUCCACGCCAUAAACGAUGACAACUAGACGUUGGGGACAUAUGGUCCACAGUGUCGCAGCUAACGCGUUAAGUUGUCCGCCUGGGGAGUACGGCCGCAAGGUUG
RNAcentral lists this ribosomal RNA (372 nucleotides) under uncultured organism. Its description in RNAcentral is "bacterial SSU rRNA". It matches the Rfam family "Bacterial small subunit ribosomal RNA", at positions 526 to 896 of the family's 1533-position model. The record is from RNAcentral.